AGUAACGCGUGGAUAACCUGCCGCAUGCAGGGGGAGUACCGGCUGGAAACAGCCGCUAAUACCGCAUAAGCGCACGGUGCCGCAUGGCAGAGUGCGAAAAGGAGAAAUCCGGCAAGCGAUGGAUCCGCGUCCGAUUAGCCAGUUGGCGGGGUAAUGGCCCACCAAAGCGACGAUCGGUAGCCGGCCUGAGAGGGCGGACGGCCACAUUGGGACUGAGACACGGCCCAGACUCCUACGGAAGGCAGCAG
This 248-nucleotide ribosomal RNA is filed under the name uncultured bacterium. RNAcentral's name for it is "partial 16S ribosomal RNA". It matches the Rfam family "Bacterial small subunit ribosomal RNA", at positions 109 to 354 of the family's 1533-position model. The record is from RNAcentral.